AAUCCAUGUUGUGGGCAUGAGCUGACAAGAUCCUUGAACCGUUCCCAACAUCAGAAGAAGGUCUCAUCUUCCUUUUGGGUGAAGUUCAUGAUCAGCUUCCUUAUGGU
Small nucleolar RNA from Magnolia sinica, 107 nucleotides. The record is from RefSeq and is a predicted model, not a curated record. Lineage: Eukaryota; Viridiplantae; Streptophyta; Magnoliopsida; Magnoliales; Magnoliaceae.